RNAcentral lists this ribosomal RNA (119 nucleotides) under Lepisosteus oculatus (spotted gar). The record is from RNAcentral. Lineage: Eukaryota; Metazoa; Chordata; Actinopteri; Semionotiformes; Lepisosteidae.
GCCAGCAGCCAUAUCACUCUGCAACUCACAACUGGCAACCCACUGAAGCUAAAUAGGUGUGAGCCUGGUCAGUACCUGGAUGGGAGACCUCCUGGGAAAAACUAAGGUUGCUGCUGGAA